This 253-nucleotide ribosomal RNA is filed under the name uncultured bacterium. Its description in RNAcentral is "partial 16S ribosomal RNA". It matches the Rfam family "Bacterial small subunit ribosomal RNA", at positions 524 to 776 of the family's 1533-position model. The record is from RNAcentral.
UACGAAGGGGGCUAGCGUUGUUCGGAUUUACUGGGCGUAAAGCGCACGUAGGCGGGUCGUUAAGUCAGGGGUGAAAUCCCGGAGCUCAACUCCGGAACUGCCUUUGAUACUGGCGACCUUGAGGCUGGAAGAGGUUAGUGGAAUUCCCAGUGUAGAGGUGAAAUUCGUAGAUAUUGGGAAGAACACCAGUGGCGAAGGCGGCUAACUGGUCCAGAUCUGACGCUGAGGCGCGAAAGCGUGGGGAGCGAACAGG